UAACAAGAUCUAGUCUUUCUGUGUUAGCC
This 29-nucleotide non-coding RNA is filed under the name Mus musculus (house mouse). The record is from RNAcentral. Lineage: Eukaryota; Metazoa; Chordata; Mammalia; Rodentia; Muridae.